UACAGGGGUCUCAAGCGUUGUUCGGAUUCAUUGGGCGUAAAGGGUGCGUAGGUGGCGCCGUAAGUCGGGUGUGAAAUUUCGGAGCUUAACUCCGAAACUGCAUUCGAUACUGCGGUGCUUGAGGACUGGAGAGGAGGCUGGAAUUCAUGGUGUAGCAGUGAAAUGCGUAGAGAUCAUGAGGAAGACCAGUGGCGAAGGCGGGUCUCUGGACAGUUCCUGACACUGAGGCACGAAGGCCAGGGGAGCAAACGGG
RNAcentral lists this ribosomal RNA (253 nucleotides) under uncultured bacterium. RNAcentral describes it as "partial 16S ribosomal RNA". It matches the Rfam family "Bacterial small subunit ribosomal RNA", at positions 524 to 776 of the family's 1533-position model. The record is from RNAcentral.